This 164-nucleotide ribosomal RNA is filed under the name Bivonaea lutea. Its description in RNAcentral is "5.8S ribosomal RNA". It matches the Rfam family "5.8S ribosomal RNA". From Rfam's summary of the family: 5.8S ribosomal RNA (5.8S rRNA) is a component of the large subunit of the eukaryotic ribosome. Lineage: Eukaryota; Viridiplantae; Streptophyta; Magnoliopsida; Brassicales; Brassicaceae. RNAcentral also lists the same sequence under 1 other name. The record is from RNAcentral.
AAACGACUCUCGGCAACGGAUAUCUCGGCUCUCGCAUCGAUGAAGAACGUAGCGAAAUGCGAUACUUGGUGUGAAUUGCAGAAUCCCGUGAACCAUCGAGUCUUUGAACGCAAGUUGCGCCCUAAGCCUUUUGGUCGAGGGCACGUCUGCCUGGGUGUCACAAA